UUGGUUAAGUUAGAAAGGGCGCACGGUGGAUGCCUUGGCACUAGGAGCCGAAGAAGGACGGGACUAACACCGAUAUGCUUUGGGGAGCUGUACGUAAGCGUUGAUCCAGAGAUUUCCGAAUGGGGGAACCCACUAUCUUUAGUCGGAUAGUAUCCUUACGUGAAUACAUAGCGUAAGGAAGGCAGACCCAGGGAACUGAAACAUCUAAGUACCUGGAGGAAGAGAAAGAAAAAUCGAUUUCCUGAGUAGCGGCGAGCGAAACGGAAAGAGCCCAAACCAAGAAGCUUGCUUCUUGGGGUUGUAGGACACUCUAUACGGAGUUACAAAAGAAAGUUAUAAAUGAAGCGGUCUGGAAAGGCCCGCCAAAGACGGUAACAGCCCGGUAGUUGAAAUGGCUUUCCCUCCAGAGUGGAUCCUGAGUACGGCGGAACACGUGAAAUUCCGUCGGAAUCCGGGAGGACCAUCUCCCAAGGCUAAAUACUCCCUAGUGACCGAUAGUGAACCAGUACCGUGAGGGAAAGGUGAAAAGCACCCCGGAAGGGGAGUGAAACAGUUCCUGAAACCGUGUGCCUACAAGUAGUUAGAGCCCGUUAAUGGGUGAUAGCGUGCCUUUUGUAGAAUGAACCGGCGAGUUACGAUUUGUUGCAAGGUUAAGCGGAAAAAGCGGAGCCGUAGCGAAAGCGAGUCUGAAUAGGGCGCAUAAGUAACAGGUCGUAGACCCGAAACCAGGUGAUCUACCCAUGUCCAGGAUGAAGGUAAGGUAAUACUUACUGGAGGUCCGAACCCACGCACGUUGAAAAGUGCGGGGAUGAGGUGUGGGUAGCGGAGAAAUUCCAAUCGAACUUGGAGAUAGCUGGUUCUCUCCGAAAUAGCUUUAGGGCUAGCCUCGAGGUAAAGAGUCAUGGAGGUAGAGCACUGUUUGGACUAGGGGCCCUUCUCGGGUUACCGAAUUCAGAUAAACUCCGAAUGCCAUGUACUUAUACUCGGGAGUCAGACUGCGAGUGAUAAGAUCCGUAGUCGAAAGGGAAACAGCCCAGACCACCAGUUAAGGUCCCCAAAUAUAUGUUAAGUGGAAAAGGAUGUGGGGUUGCUUAGACAACCAGGAUGUUGGCUUAGAAGCAGCCACCAUUGAAAGAGUGCGUAAUAGCUCACUGGUCGAGUGACCCCGCGCCGAAAAUGUACCGGGGCUAAACAUAUUACCGAAACUGUGGAUGAACCUCUUUAGAGGUUCGUGGUAGGAGAGCGUUCUAAGGGCGGUGAAGUCAGACCGGAAGGACUGGUGGAGCGCUUAGAAGUGAGAAUGCCGGUAUGAGUAGCGAAAGAAGGGUGAGAAUCCCUUCCACCGAAUAUCUAAGGUUUCCUGAGGAAGGCUCGUCCGCUCAGGGUUAGUCGGGACCUAAGCCGAGGCCGAUAGGCGUAGGCGAUGGACAACAGGUAGAGAUUCCUGUACCAGUGCUAAUUGUUUAACCGAUGGGGUGACACAGAAGGAUAGGGAAUCGCACGAAUGGAAAUGUGCGUCCAAGCAGUGAGUGUGAG
Molecule: ribosomal RNA, 1536 nt
Filed under: Listeria monocytogenes
Lineage: Bacteria; Bacillati; Bacillota; Bacilli; Caryophanales; Listeriaceae
Description: partial 23S ribosomal RNA
Rfam family: Bacterial large subunit ribosomal RNA
Source: RNAcentral